AAAGGGUGCGUAGGCGGUUUAUUAAGUCAGUGGUGAAAGACGGUCGCUCAACGAUUGCAGUGCCAUUGAUACUGGUAGACUUGAGUGGGAUUGAGGUAGCUGGAAUGGAUAGUGUAGCGGUGAAAUGCAUAGAUAUUAUCCAGAACACCAAUUGCGUAGGCAAGUUACUAAGUCUCAACUGACGCUGAUGCACGAAAGUGUGGGUAUCAAACAGGAUUAGAUACCCUUGU
RNAcentral lists this ribosomal RNA (230 nucleotides) under uncultured bacterium. RNAcentral describes it as "partial 16S ribosomal RNA". It matches the Rfam family "Bacterial small subunit ribosomal RNA", at positions 562 to 791 of the family's 1533-position model. The record is from RNAcentral.